Molecule: ribosomal RNA, 400 nt
Filed under: uncultured bacterium
Lineage: Bacteria
Description: bacterial SSU rRNA
Rfam family: Bacterial small subunit ribosomal RNA
Source: RNAcentral
UGGGGAAUAUUGGACAAUGGGGGAAACCCUGAUCCAGCCAUGCCGCGUGAGUGAUGAAGGCCUUAGGGUUGUAAAGCUCUUUUGUCAGGGAAGAUGAUGACGGUACCUGAAGAAUAAGCACCGGCUAACUUCGUGCCAGCAGCCGCGGUAAUACGAAGGGUGCUAGCGUUGUUCGGAAUCACUGGGCGUAAAGCGCGCGUAGGCGGCUUUUCAAGUCAGAGGUGAAAUCCCCAGGCUCAACCUGGGAAUUGCCUUUGAAACUGUAAAGCUGGAGUAUUGGAGGGGAUAGCGGAAUUGCUAAUGUAGAGGUGAAAUUCGUAGAUAUUAGCAGGAACACCGGUGGCGAAGGCGGCUAUCUGGACAAUUACUGACGCUGAAGUGCGAAAGCGUGGGGAUCAAA